RNA transcript from Orcinus orca (killer whale), 1389 nucleotides. It is a transcript of the gene named mesoderm-specific transcript homolog protein-like, with no coding region annotated. The record is from RefSeq and is a predicted model, not a curated record. The transcript has a single exon. Lineage: Eukaryota; Metazoa; Chordata; Mammalia; Artiodactyla; Delphinidae.
AUGAAGGAGUGGUGGGUCCAGGUGGGGCUGUUGGCUGUGCCCCUGCUUGCAGCCUAUCUGCACAUCCCCCCGUCCCCCAGCUUUCUUCUGCUCUUCACUCAUGGAAGUCAUCAGGAAAAUUUAUUUUUACCUACAAGGGACUGCGUAUCUUCUACCAAGACUCUGUGGGUGUGGUUGGAAGUCCAGAGAUAGUUGUGCUUUUACACGGCUUUCCAACGUCCAGCUAUGACUGGUACAAGAUUUGCGAAGGUCUGACCCUCAGGUUUCAUCGAGUGAUUGCCCUUGAUUUCCUAGGCUUUGACUUCAGUGACAAACCGAGACCACAUCACUAUUCCAUAUUCGAGCAGGCCAGCAUCGUGGAAGCUCUUUUGCGGCAUCUGGGCCUCCAGAACCGUAGGAUCAAACUGUUGUCUCAUGACUAUGGGGAUAUUGUUGCUCAGGAGCUGCUCUAUAGGUUCAAGCAGAAUCGAUCUGGUCAGCUUACCAUCAAGAGUCUCUGUCUGUCGAAUGGAGGUAUAUUUCCUGAGACUCACCAUCCUCUCCUUCUCCAAAAGCUUCUCAAAGAUGGAGACAUGCUGUCACCCAUCCUCACGCGACUGAUGAACUUCUUCGUAUUCUCUCAAGGUCUCACCCCGGUCUUUGGGCCAUACCCCCGACCCUCUGAGACUGAACUGUGGGACAUGUGGUCAGGGAUACGCAACAAUGACGGGAACUUGGUUAUUGACAGUCUCUUGCAGUACAUCAAUCAAAGGAAAAAGUUUAGAAGACGCUGGGUGGGAGCUCUUGCCUCUGUAUCUAUUCCCAUUCAUUUUAUCUAUGGGCCACUGGAUCCAGUGAAUCCCUAUCCAGAGUUUUUGGAGCUGUACAGGAAAACGCUGCCACGGUCCACAGCUAGAGGAUCCCAUGGGCUUCUUGAAUGCAUAUAUGGGCUUCAUCAACUCCUUCUGAGCUGGAAAGAGUAGCUUUCCUGUAUUAUUUCCCCUAUUCCCUUAUCUGUUGUGUAUUCCACUUAGCAAGAAAUGCCCAAAAGAGGUCCUGGCCACCAAACACUAUUCUCUCACAAAAGUCCACCUGACUCACACUGAUGAACAGCAUAUAGUAAAAAGCCAGCAGAAGCUCUAAGGGUGACCUAAUAGUCCACCUCCCAUUCCUUUGACAUCUGAUCAAGUGUAUGGACUUGCCUUUGUCUUUGUGUUAAUAGGGAAUUCUGAUGGGCACUACUACUUACUGAUGCAGAAAGACAGACAGACAUUCUUUUGCAUAAAAGUCUUUGAAACACUUCUAUGGACUUUUCUGAAAUAUUUAGAAAUGCUAAUUUCUGGCCCUGGUUGGAAUUAUCUAAAGGUGCCACCUUCACCUCGCCUUGAAUGGCUUUAAUUCUCUAAGUGA